CUUGGAACCCAGAGGAUUCCAGGGUUAUUUUACUCUAAGACCAUUAUUCAACUGUUGAAUUGACAUGAGUUAAGAAAACAUUUUCUUUGAAUCCCUGUGUAGAGAGGUUUUUUGCAUUUAGGAUGAGGUGUUUUCUGAUGACACUGUGCCUGGUGCAUGAGAUCUUGGUGGCAACAGUUAACGGCUUCUACUGUGUUGUGCACACCCAGUAAGAAGACCUUCAAACUGUUCUUACCAUGUGCUGCCUGAAAAGCGAGAGUGGGUUUAAUUAAGGGCAGGUGACAAACUCCUCACUGUAAACGGAGGGGCAGCUGUGCACAUGUCCUUCCCUGCUGCUGCCCUUGAGUGGGGUGCACUGGGGUUAGUAUCAAAAUGCUCCACGUUACAGGUCUAGUUCCUCCUGUCUAGAUGCCGACACCACAGUUGGUUCCCGGCUGUGUGAAUAGAUGCCGUUGGAAGGGAACCUAAAGAGUAGUAAAAUGAAUAAGGAUGAGCUAUUAAACCAGAUCUAAGCUAAUAGUACAUAAUAAUUUGAACUUUUUAUAGUCGUUGCAGUAGACCACCUAGAGUUAAGUUUUCCAUCUCUUUAUGUGCUGCUUUUUAAAAGAAAUGUAAGAAGCUUGUUAGUCUUGGAUCCUGAGUAGCAAGGCAAACCAAAGCACAGAAAACCAGCUGGAUUUUUCCCUGUGCAUGGUUUGAAGAGUCAGUCCUACACAAUUCCUGACACAAUGCAACCUGCAGCUGCCUGGAGAAAGAACAAUUCAAUGUCACUAAAAAUCUGUUGUAUGUAUAAUGAAAUUUUGUUCUGUAACUGAUAAUAUUAAUGUAGUUUGUCUGGUUUUAGAGAAUUAGUAGGUGAAUCUCAAGCAUUCAAAAAGUUCAGUGGACAAGGUCCAUUUUGGGUGUCUUAACUGGCAAGAAGCAUCAUGUCUCCUUGCAGUUUUCCAGGUUAUUUUAUGUAGAGGUGACAGCUUUGCUCUCUGCUCAGUCAGAAUUAGUGUGCUUUUCUUUUUGGGUAAGUGAUUUAUAACAUACUGCUAGUUUGUAUAGGAUCUAUUCAGAAAAAUGACCUGUGAAUUUUAAAGCAUAGGAAGAUUGUUGACAAGGGUUUCAAUGGGUUUUUUCCCCCAAUAAUCUGACAUGUGCAGAGCAUUUAGAGGUGCGUGGUUAGUGUGGUUACAAACUAAAAAGUGCUGUUCAUUUAAUGCUAAUAAAUACUUCAUUUAAAAACUUGAUGUACAUAAUGAGCAUGUGGAAAUAAAGUUAACUUGUAGCACUGGU
Long non-coding RNA from Peromyscus eremicus (cactus mouse), 1281 nucleotides. RefSeq lists it as uncharacterized. The record is from RefSeq and is a predicted model, not a curated record. Lineage: Eukaryota; Metazoa; Chordata; Mammalia; Rodentia; Cricetidae. The transcript is spliced from 2 exons.